CAUCUUCUUCUUCUUCCUCUUCUUUCGCCUCUGCAACUUAUUCUUCCAUUUCUUCCCCUAACAAGUCCCAUGGCCGCAUGCUUGUCCUGACCCGUCCCACCCCCAAACCCAUCACCUCGCCGCCACCUCUUUCCCCUCAACCCCUAUCUCGACCCCCAUCCGCCGAUCAUCGUCCAGUUCCGGAUCAGACCCGUCCCCAAUCCGAUUCCGAUUCGAUCUCUCUUCGCCCUCUCGGUCGGACCGGUACGGGCGGGAUCGCCCCCUCUCCGAUUCCGAGCUUGGAAAAGGACAAGGAGGCUCCUCCUCCGGCUGUGACGUUUCAUAAACCGGAGAAAUUUGUGCCACCUCAUCUCCGGGCGGG
RNAcentral lists this unclassified non-coding RNA (361 nucleotides) under Hevea brasiliensis (rubber tree). Lineage: Eukaryota; Viridiplantae; Streptophyta; Magnoliopsida; Malpighiales; Euphorbiaceae. The record is from RNAcentral.